GGAAUAUUGGACAAUGGGCGCAAGCCUGAUCCAGCCAUGCCGCGUGAGUGAUGAAGGCCUUAGGGUUGUAAAGCUCUUUCAGCGGGGACGAUAAUGACGGUACCCGCAGAAGAAGCCCCGGCUAACUCUGUGCCAGCAGCCGCGGUAAUACAGAGGGGGCAAGCGUUGUUCGGAAUUACUGGGCGUAAAGGGCGCGUAGGCGGCCUUCUAAGUCGAACGUGAAAUCCCCGGGCUCAACCCGGGAACUGCGUCCGAUACUGGAAGGCUUGAAUCCGGGAGAGGGAUGCGGAAUUCCAGGUGUAGCGGUGAAAUGCGUAGAUAUCUGGAGGAACACCGGUGGCGAAGGCGGCAUCCUGGACCGGUAUUGACGCUGAUGCGCGAAAGCCAGGGGAGCAAAC
Molecule: ribosomal RNA, 398 nt
Filed under: uncultured bacterium
Lineage: Bacteria
Description: bacterial SSU rRNA
Rfam family: Bacterial small subunit ribosomal RNA
Source: RNAcentral